UACGUAGGGUGCAAGCGUUAAUCGGAAUUACUGGGCGUAAAGCGUGCGUAGGUGGUUUGUUAAGUCUGCUGUGAAAGCCCUGGGCUCAACCUGGGAAUGGCGGUGGAUACUGACAAGCUAGAGUGCGGUAGAGGAGGGUGGAAUUCCCGGUGUAGCGGUGAAAUGCGUAGAGAUCGGGAGGAACAUCAGUGGCGAAGGCGGCCCUCUGGACCAGCACUGACGCUGAGGCACGAAAGCGUGGGGAGCAAACAGG
Molecule: ribosomal RNA, 253 nt
Filed under: uncultured bacterium
Lineage: Bacteria
Description: partial 16S ribosomal RNA
Rfam family: Bacterial small subunit ribosomal RNA
Source: RNAcentral